Molecule: ribosomal RNA, 433 nt
Filed under: uncultured bacterium
Lineage: Bacteria
Description: partial 16S ribosomal RNA
Rfam family: Bacterial small subunit ribosomal RNA
Source: RNAcentral
AACGAACGCUGGCGGCAUGCCUAACACAUGCAAGUCGAACGAGACCUUCGGGUCUAGUGGCGCACGGGUGCGUAACGCGUGGGAACCUGCCCUUAGGUUCGGAAUAACUCCCCGAAAGGGGUGCUAAUACCGGAUAAUGUCUUCGGACCAAAGAUUUAUCGCCUUUGGAUGGGCCCGCGUUGGAUUAGCUAGUUGGUAGGGUAAAAGCCUACCAAGGCGACGAUCCAUAGCUGGUCUGAGAGGAUGAUCUGCCACACUGGGACUGAGACACGGCCCAGACUCCUACGGGAGGCAGCAGUGGGGAAUAUUGGACAAUGGGCGAAAGCCUGAUCCAGCAAUGCCGCGUGAGUGAUGGAGGCCUUAGGGUUGUAAAGCUCUUUUACCCGGGAUGAUAAUGACAGUACCGGGAGAAUAAGCUCCGGCUAACUCCGUG